CCUACGGGUGGCAGCAGUGGGGAAUAUUGCACAAUGGGGGAAACCCUGAUGCAGCGACGCCGCGUGAGUGAAGCAGUACUUCGUUACGUAAAGCUCUAUCAGCAGGGAAGAAAUACUGACCUUACGGUCAGCAGACGGUACCUGAGUAAGAAGCCCCGGCCAACUACGUGCCAGCAGCCGCGGGAAUACGUAGGGGGCAAGCGUUAUCCGGAUUUACUGGGUGGAAAGGGAGCGAAGACGGUGCGCCAAGUCUGUAGUGAAAUGCCGCAGCUUAACUCCGGAACUGCUGUGGAAACUGGCGAACUGGAGGGCGGGAGGGGUAAGCGGAAUUCCUGGUGUAGCUGUGAAAUGCGUAGAUAUUAGGAGGAAAACCGGUGGCGAAGGCGGCUUACUGGACCGUAACUGACGUUGAGGCUCGAAAGCGUGGGGAGCAAACAGGAUUAGAUACCCCAGUAGUC
Molecule: ribosomal RNA, 458 nt
Filed under: uncultured bacterium
Lineage: Bacteria
Description: partial 16S ribosomal RNA
Rfam family: Bacterial small subunit ribosomal RNA
Source: RNAcentral